This 499-nucleotide ribosomal RNA is filed under the name uncultured bacterium. RNAcentral's name for it is "partial 16S ribosomal RNA". It matches the Rfam family "Bacterial small subunit ribosomal RNA", at positions 28 to 507 of the family's 1533-position model. The record is from RNAcentral.
GAUGAACGCUGGCGGCGUGCCUAAUACAUGCAAGUCGAGCGAACAGACGAGAGUGCUUGCACUCUCUGACGUUAGCGGCGGACGGGUGAGUAACACGUGGGUAACCUACCUAUAAGACUGGGAUAACUUCGGGAAACCGGAGCUAAUACCGGAUAAUAUUUAGCUUCGCAUGAAGCAAUAGUGAAAGACGGUUCUGCUGUCACUUAUAGAUGGACCCGCGGUGUAUUAGCUAGUUGGUGAGGUAACGGCUCACCAAGGCAACGAUACAUAGCCGACCUGAGGGGUGGAGCGGCCACACUGGGACUGAGACACGGCCCAGGCUCCUGCGGGAGGCAGCAGUAGGGAAUCUUCCGCAAUGGAUGAAAGUCUGACGGAGCAAUGCCGCGUGAGUGAAGAAGGUUUUCGGAUCGUAAAACUCUGUUGUAAGGGAAGAACAAUUACGUUAGUAACUGAACGUACCUUGACGGUACCUGACCAGAAAGCCACGGCUAACUACGUG